GAUAAGUACUUGACUGCAUCCAGUAACCUUCCAUCACUGAUUAGUAAUUCAGAUGGUCCGGCACUAAAGUAUAGUGAGUUGCUUACAAGUCACUAUGGUGAUCUCAGGUCUGAGAGACACUUAUACCCAUAUCCUUCUCGAGCUACUCUUGACAGUAAAGUGCUCGAUAAAUGAUCACGUUCAGUGUGAAUGGACUUCUACAUUCUAUCUACAUGCUAUACCAAUAUCUU
This 230-nucleotide long non-coding RNA is filed under the name Elaeis guineensis (African oil palm). Its description in RNAcentral is "long non-coding RNA (EGUI_LNC075935)". The record is from RNAcentral. Lineage: Eukaryota; Viridiplantae; Streptophyta; Magnoliopsida; Arecales; Arecaceae.